UCCAGGGACCCCAAAUCUCGGAGGAGCCCAGGGAGCUGGAGCCCCAAAACCAGGAGGGGCAGAAUCCUGGAGAAGCUGAGCCCAGAGACCCCAAAACCAGGAGAGCCAGAGCACAGACACCCCAAAUCCUGCAGAGCCAGAGACCCCAACACCAGAGAGCCGGAGCCCAGAGACCCCAAAACGCGGAGAGCCAGAGCCCAGAGACCCCAAAACCAGGGAGCUGGAGCCUAGAGACCCCAAAAUCUGGAGAGCCAGAGACCACAAAACUUGUACAGCCGGAGCCGAGAUACCCCAAAACCUGGAGAGUUGAAGCACAGAGACCCCAAUACCAGAGAGCCAGAGACCCCAAUACCAGAGAAUCGGAGCACAGGCACCCCAAAACCCGGAGAGCUGGAGCCUAGAGACCCCAAAACCCAGAGAGACGGAGCUCAGAGACCCCAAAACCCAGAGAGUGGGAGCCCAGAGACCCCAAAUCCUGCAGAGCCAGAGCCCAGAGACCCCAAAACCAGAGACCAGACACCCCAAAACGCAGAGAGCCGGAGCCCGGAGUUCCUGGGAGCUGCAGCCAGGACAGCAGAGCCAGAGCCCUGAGGCCUGGGAGCCCUGAAACGCAGAGACCCCGGGAGCCCCCAGCCCACCCCGGGGGGCAGGACCCCCAAAACCCAGCCCCGUGUGCAGCCGGGAGGGUCCCUCACCCCAGAAGGAGCAGUGGCAUGUGGCAGGUGUGACCCUCCCCACCUGUGCCAGGUCACCAUGGAGCCGUGCCCGGGGCAGCCCCAGGAGGCCCUGCUGACGGUCAACGAGCAGGUUAUUGUCAUGUCCAGCCACGAGACCAUCCGGGUGCUGGAGGUGGGGGUGGAUGGGGACCCCAAAACGGCCGGGGAGGGAGCGGGGGGGUCCCCGGCACAGGGGGGCCCCCCAGGUGUGGAGGAUGCUCCCGCCAGCGCCCCGAGCUCGUCCGGAGGGGAGGCG
Long non-coding RNA from Pyrgilauda ruficollis (rufous-necked snowfinch), 972 nucleotides. RefSeq lists it as uncharacterized. The transcript is spliced from 3 exons. NCBI's taxonomy places the organism in Eukaryota, Metazoa, Chordata, Aves, Passeriformes, Passeridae. The record is from RefSeq and is a predicted model, not a curated record.